Molecule: ribosomal RNA, 468 nt
Filed under: uncultured bacterium
Lineage: Bacteria
Description: partial 16S ribosomal RNA
Rfam family: Bacterial small subunit ribosomal RNA
Source: RNAcentral
GACGAACGCUGGCGGCGUGCUUAACACAUGCAAGUCGAACGGAAAGGCCCUGCUUUUGUGGGGUGCUCGAGUGGCGAACGGGUGAGUAACACGUGAGUAACCUGCCCUUGACUUUGGGAUAACUUCAGGAAACUGGGGCUAAUACCUGAUAGGAGCUCCUGCUGCAUGGUGGGGGUUGGAAAGUUUCGGCGGUUGGGGAUGGACUUGGGGCUUAUCAGCUUGUUGGUGGGGUAGUGGCUUACCAAGGCUUUGACGGAUAGCCGGCCUGAGAGGGUGACCGGCCACAUUGGGACUGAGAUACGGCGCAGACGGCUACGGGAGGCAGCAGUGGGGAAUAUUGCACAAUGGGCGGAAGCCUGAUGCAGAAACGCCGCGUGCGGGAUGACGGCCUUCGGGUUGUAAACCGCUUUCGCCUGUGACGAAGCGUGAGUGACGGUAAUGGGUAAAGAAGCACCGGCUAACUACGUG